RNAcentral lists this ribosomal RNA (253 nucleotides) under uncultured prokaryote. RNAcentral's name for it is "partial 16S ribosomal RNA". It matches the Rfam family "Bacterial small subunit ribosomal RNA", at positions 524 to 776 of the family's 1533-position model. The record is from RNAcentral.
UACGGGGGGGGCAAGCGUUGUUCGGAAUUACUGGGCGUAAAGGGCUCGUAGGCGGCCAACUAAGUCGGACGUGAAAUCCCCAGGCUCAACCUGGGAACUGCAUCCGAUACUGGAUGGCUUGAAUUCGGGAGAGGGAUGCAGAAUUCCAGGUGUAGCGGUGAAAUGCGUAGAGAUGUGGAGGAACACCGAUGGCGAAGGCAGCCUCCUGGGCCAGCACUGACGCUCAUGCACGAAAGCGUGGGGAGCAAACAGG